ACUCUGUUGUUAAAGAAGAACAUUUCUGAGAGUAACUGUUCAGGUAUUGACGGUAUUUAACCAGAAAGCCACGGCUAAUUACGUGCCAGCAGCCGCGGUAAUACGUAGGUGGCCAGCGUUGUCCGGAUUUAUUGGGCGUAAAGCGAGCGCAGGCGGUUUUUUAAGUCUGAUGUGAAAGCCUUCGGCUCAACCGAAGAAGUGCAUCGGAAACUGGGAAACUUGAGUGCAGAAGAGGACAGUGGAACUCCAUGUGUAGCGGUGAAAUGCGUAGAUAUAUGGAAGAACACCAGUGGCGAAGGCGGCUGUCUGGUCUGUAACUGACGCUGAGGCUCGAAAGUAUGGGUAGCAAACAGGAUUAGAUACCCUGGUAGUCCAUACCGUAAACGAUGAAUGCUAAGUGUUGGAGGGUUUCCGCCCUUCAGUGCUGCAGCUAACGCAUUAAGCAUUCCGCCUGGGGAGUACGGCCGCAAGGCUGAAACUCAAAGGAAUUGACGGGGGCCCGCACAAGCGGUGGAGCAUGUGGUUUAAUUCGAAGCUACGCGAAGAACCUUACCAGGUCUUGACAUACUAUGCAAAUCUAAGAGAUUAGACGUUCCCUUCGGGGACAUGGAUACAGGUGGUGCAUGGUUGUCGUCAGCUCGUGUCGUGAGAUGUUGGGUUAAGUCCCGCAACGAGCGCAACCCUUAUUAUCAGUUGCCAGCAUUAAGUUGGGCACUCUGGUGAGACUGCCGGUGACAAACCGGAGGAAGGUGGGGAUGACGUCAAAUCAUCAUGCCCCUUAUGACCUGGGCUACACACGUGCUACAAUGGAUGGUACAACGAGUUGCGAACUCGCGAGAGUAAGCUAAUCUCUUAAAGCCAUUCUCAGUUCGGAUUGUAGGCUGCAACUCGCCUACAUGAAGUCGGAAUCGCUAGUAAUCGCGGAUCAGCAUGCCGCGGUGAAUACGUUCCCGGGCCUUGUACACACCGCCCGUCACACCAUGAGAGUUUGUAACACCCAAAGUCGGUGGGGUAACCUUUAGGAACCAGCCGCUAAGUGACAGAGAUGGA
Molecule: ribosomal RNA, 1050 nt
Filed under: Lactiplantibacillus plantarum
Lineage: Bacteria; Bacillati; Bacillota; Bacilli; Lactobacillales; Lactobacillaceae
Description: bacterial SSU rRNA
Rfam family: Bacterial small subunit ribosomal RNA
Source: RNAcentral